RNAcentral lists this ribosomal RNA (382 nucleotides) under uncultured bacterium. RNAcentral describes it as "bacterial SSU rRNA". It matches the Rfam family "Bacterial small subunit ribosomal RNA", at positions 28 to 409 of the family's 1533-position model. The record is from RNAcentral.
GACGAACGCUGGCGGCGUGCUUAACACAUGCAAGUCGAGCGGUAAGGCCCUUUCGGGGGUACACGAGCGGCGAACGGGUGAGUAACACGUGGGUGACCUGCCCUCAGCUCUGGGAUAAGCCUGGGAAACCGGGUCUAAUACCGGAUAUGACUCCAUGACGCAUGUUGUGGGGUGGAAAGCCUUGUGCGGCUGAGGAUGGGCCCGCGGGCCUAUCAGCUUGUUGGUGGGGUGAUGGCCUACCAAGGCGACGACGGGUAGCCGGCCUGAGAGGGCGACCGGCCACACUGGGACUGAGACACGGCCCAGGACUCCUACGGGAGGCAGCAGUGGGGAAUCUUGCGCAAUGGGCGAAAGCCUGACGCAGCGACGCCGCGUGAGGGAU